AAGGGAGACCUAAUUCAGGUAUGGGACGAAAAAAAAGUAGUCGCUACCAAGAAUCAAUCCCAAAAGGUCGGAGCGAGGUAUGAGGCUUUCAAACUAGGUUCUGGGUUCACACAAGACCUGAAUCAGGAACAAGGGCUAUUAGCUCAGGUGGUUAGAGCGCACCCCUGAUAAGGGUGAGGUCCCUGGUUCGAGUCCAGGAUGGCCCACCUGCACAGGUGGCAAAAACAAGAGAAGCGAGGAAUCAGCACCUUAUCUUAUCUAUAUAUAAGAGAGAAUGCUGGCUCUGAGUAAAGAGUCCAGAGGAACCUUGAAAACUGCAUAGAGCUAGGUGAAAAAGCCAAAAAAGAAGACCGCAA
This 356-nucleotide transfer RNA is filed under the name Microcystis aeruginosa. RNAcentral's name for it is "16S-23S ribosomal RNA intergenic spacer". The stretch from base 133 to 206 matches the Rfam family "tRNA". The record is from RNAcentral. RNAcentral also lists the same sequence under 1 other name. Lineage: Bacteria; Bacillati; Cyanobacteriota; Cyanophyceae; Chroococcales; Microcystaceae.